UACGGGAGGCAGCAGUGGGGAAUAUUGCACAAUGGGCGCAAGCCUGAUGCAGCCAUGCCGCGUGUAUGAAAAAGGCCUUCGGGUUGUAAAGUACUUUCAGUCGUGAGGAAGGUGUUAAGGUUAAUAACCUUAGCAAUUGACGUUAGCGACAGAAGAAGCACCGGCUAACUCCGUGCCAGCAGCCGCGGUAAUACGGAGGGUGCGAGCGUUAAUCGGAAUUACUGGGCGUAAAGGGCACGCAGGCGGUUAAUUAAGUUGGAUGUGAAAUCCCCGGGCUUAACCUGGGAAUGGCAUUCAAGACUGGUUAGCUAGAGUCUUGUAGAGGGGGUAGAAUUCCAUGUGUAGCGGUGAAAUGCGUAGAGAUGUGGAGGAAUACCGGUGGCGAAGGCGGCCCCUGGACAAAGACUGACGCUCAUGUGCGAAAGCGUGGGGAGCAAAC
This 439-nucleotide ribosomal RNA is filed under the name uncultured bacterium. RNAcentral describes it as "bacterial SSU rRNA". It matches the Rfam family "Bacterial small subunit ribosomal RNA", at positions 340 to 773 of the family's 1533-position model. The record is from RNAcentral.